Molecule: ribosomal RNA, 494 nt
Filed under: uncultured bacterium
Lineage: Bacteria
Description: bacterial SSU rRNA
Rfam family: Bacterial small subunit ribosomal RNA
Source: RNAcentral
UGAACGCUAGCGGCAGGCUAACACAUGCAAGUCGAGGGGCAGCGCGAGGUAGCAAUACUUGGCGGCGACCGGCGAAAGGGUGCGUAACGCGUGAGCAACUUGCCCGUAUCUGGGACAUAAGCGGUGGAAACGCCGUCUAAUUUCCCAUAACAACAGAGGCCGCAUGACCUUUGUUUGAAAGAUCCGUCGGAUACGGAUGGGCUCGCGAGACAUUAGCUAGUCGGCGUGGUAACGGCACACCGAGGCGACGAUGUCUAGGGGUUCUGAGAGGAAGGUCCCCCACACUGGAACUGAGACACGGUCCAGACUCCUACGGGAGGCAGCAGUGAGGAAUAUUGGUCAAUGGGCGCAAGCCUGAACCAGCCAUGCCGCGUGAAGGAAAAUAAGGCCCUAUGGGUCGUAAACUUCUUUUGUGGUGGAGCAAUAAGGUGUACGUGUACACCGAUGAGAGUACAUCACGAAUAAGCAUCGGCUAACUCCGUGCCAGCCGCAGC